Humulus lupulus (European hop) is the source of this 1657-nucleotide long non-coding RNA. RefSeq lists it as uncharacterized. NCBI's taxonomy places the organism in Eukaryota, Viridiplantae, Streptophyta, Magnoliopsida, Rosales, Cannabaceae. The transcript is spliced from 2 exons. The record is from RefSeq and is a predicted model, not a curated record.
AAAAAAAAAAAAAGCCCUACUCUUAGGCCAGGCCUUAACAACUCAACGCCGCACACUCUACAAAACAAAACCCUAGCGCUUUACUCGGUGUUUUAUAUGCAUAUAUAGGACGCCAUAUUCGCUUCAGAAAUCCUAGGGUUGAGGUUGAGUUAGGGCUUCUUCUACCCUAUGUUGUUGAGACCAAAGCUAUGGAGCAGAGUUUAUAUUCUCUUUGUUUCUUAGUUUCAUUCAGCUUCUGAUAUUUUAUACAUGUAUUUACAUAUGAAAGCUGAGAUUUUUAUUAUAAUUUUCUGUUUCGGUGACGCUACAGACCAUUUGGUGGGACUGAUGUAGAUUCCACUCAGUAGUGAAAUGGAACUACUGCUACUCGACACUAUCAAUGGCUGGAGAUCUUGUCAAGUUUAAUGCUUAAUGAGAGCUUUCCUCUCUUCUUGAGACAGGGGCAUAUAUCAUCUGGAAGUGGUUUAAGGAGGAGGAAUAGCUUGUUUAUCCUUUUCCUUGAUCUUUUUUAAAAGAUAGCUUCGAACAUUGUUUACGUUUUCUUAACAUCGUUUUUGUCAACUCUUUUGUUGUGUCUGCCUAUACGCACAUUGAUAGCGAUGUGAAAAUGUGCUAUAAAAUUGGUAUGUAAUUUCAUUUCUCUCUAUUAGUUAUGGUGCAAUUGUUGAAUAUUUUCCACUUAUAUGUCAAUAGAUUUGAGAUGGAGACCUGUGUUUCUCACCAUACACUAGAGUGAGUUUUAGAGUUAGCUUUUUGUUAGCCCUGCUCGUUGGCUGGCUCGCCUCCCCGUUCCCGUCCCUUGUUUUCCAAAUCCAAUAAUACGUUACUCGAGAUUGGUUCGAGAGAUAGCUCAAAUGGUUAGUUAUGUGGUUUGCUCCUACAAAGUUUGAGGAUCUAGUCCUUCCUUCUUAGCUACAUACAUAGCAAUUUUUAUAGUUCCUUCUUAGCUAAAUACUUAACAAUUGUUGUAGUUAUAGAAUUUUUUUCAAAAGAGAGUUGGAAGUGAUGAUUUUUUCCCCAGAUGAUCGAAGCUGAUUAUACUGAGCGCUAUUAUUUAGUUUAUCAUUCAUCCGAUAUUCCAAGCCAGAAUUCUGAUCCACUCUCUAUUUAUUAAUCAAAGUUUUAGUGUUUUAUAAAUUUAAUUGUUAUUUUUGUAAAGUUUAGUGUUUGAUAAAUCUUGAAAAUGUUCUCUCUAGAAAUAAUAAAUAAAUAGGGAGUUGAUGACUAUUUCCCCAGAUGAUCGAAGUUGAUUAUACUGAGCGCAUUAUUAAUCUCUUUCAAGAGACCAAGCCAAUAUAUCUGAUCCAUUUUUAUAAUUUUUUUACUUUAGAUAAUUUUUGUUUGUAGCUAGAUUAAUUUGUGGUUUUAGUUUCAAAAUAAAUAUAUAUAUAUUUUUUAAUUGUGUUGCAAAUUAGAUGGAAUUGAUGACUUUUUCCCCAGAUGAUCGAAGUUGAUUAUACUGAGCGCAUUAUUUAUCUCCUUCGAGAGACCAAGCCAAUAUACUGAUCCAUCGAUACAAUUUUUGUUUUGUUCUUGAAAUUUAAUGUAGAUAAAUUUGUGUUUCAGUUUUCUAAAUAAACAAGUACUUUUAAAAUUGAAUUAGAUGGAAUUGAUGACUAUUUCCCCAGAUGAUCGAAGUUGAUUAUACUGAGCGCAA